Pipra filicauda (Wire-tailed manakin) is the source of this 2584-nucleotide long non-coding RNA. RefSeq lists it as uncharacterized. Lineage: Eukaryota; Metazoa; Chordata; Aves; Passeriformes; Pipridae. The record is from RefSeq and is a predicted model, not a curated record. The transcript has 3 exons.
CCCGCCGCGCGCGCGGCGCGCAUGCGCAGGCCGGGCCGGAGGGGCGCUGACAGGGCCUCACCCUGCCCGCGCGUGCGCACGGGCUUCCCGCCAGCGGUUACCAUGGAGACCGCCUCCCCCUCCCCACACGCUGCUCUCUUCUCGCUCCCCUCUUCUCGUUCCCCUCACGAGGCCGGCGGUGGCUUCUCCCGUCCCGUCCCCAUCCCGCUCUCGCCCUCCGGGAGAACGGCCCGGCGCCUGCUGAGGCGAACCCGGCCCGGCGGCCACCGGGGGCAGCCGCACGCCGCGGAAAGCGGUGGCGGCCCGGCCGCCUCACGGCCCCGGCCUAGGGCGGUGAUGUCCAGUCAAACCGGGGAGCGGCUGGUUAGGGCCUCGGCUCCGGCUGUCGCCGAGGUGAAUGGCCAGUCCGGGACGAACACCGGCGAAGGGGAAAGCACACGGCGUAGUAUUCCUUGUUCGUGUUUUUAAGGAAUUCUAAUAUAUGAAGUCUUCACAUGUGAAACGUCAGGCACACCUGUGCAGCUGCAGCCCGUUACAACUGUGAUGUUUUGGGGUUAUAAUGGCUAUUGUGCUGCUCAUACGGAAAUUUAUGGAAAUACUGGAAUUUCAAGGUGAGCAGUUACGUAGCUCAAGCUUUCCCCAAGCUUAUCUGUCAAAAGAAUGACAUUGCCUUUUUAUUUUGUACUUUAAUCCUUGGAGUCGGACAGGAAAACUUGAGCCUUUUUUCCCGCUACGUUCAGCUCUGGCUCAAAGUCCUCAUACUGAGUCUUACCUUGGAGUCAGGAUCAACAAUAACUUCCUCCAGAUCAUCAGUUAAUUGUGGCCAAAGGUCUGCAGCUGUGGCAAGAACCAAAAUCCCUCCUGGGCAAGACUUCUCAACAGGCCAAGAUGCAGCAGAGGGAAGAGGUUUAGUGGCACAUGGAACACACCAGAGCUUCAUAAACAUCAAGGCAGACACUUCACUAACAACUACAAAUCAGUUCUAAUGGACUGAGGGGUGUAUUUUCUGCAAGGAAUCCCAUCAGGAGAUUUACCCCCGUCAGUACAAGGACUCGAAACUGAUGUGAAGAAAUCCUUUGGUUUGUGUCUUUCAACACUUCUGCUGGUUUAUUCAAGUUCUUUCUCAAGUUGCUGCACUGAUGGGAAUUAGGAACCCUCUGAAGAAAAUCCUGCAAGGACUUGCAAGUGCCCGUUGCACAAACAGACUGAAAAUACUCCAGUUACGUACUGAGGCACGACCAAGCCCAGGCACAGGAGCAUCUGGCUGCACAAGGCCCUAAACUGAACUCAGAAGCACUCAAAAGCCAGAGGAAUUGUGGCAUUCCCGAUGAAGGUGGAUCCAAAAGCACCAACACUUACUGGUUCACCCUGGCUGCCAAACAGGUAUCUCUUUCACAGGGCAUUUCAAGGCCUCUGACCAUUCCUAAAGACAACAAGGGUGUGGUUUUCCAGUCACUGUUUGUUCCCAACAUCAGAGGACACAGCCACAGUGACAGGCACAGAGAGGAGAAGCAGCCCUCCCAAAAUCAGGCAGCUGAUCAGAGGCAGGCUGUCUGGCUCUCCACGUAGACCUACUGGACUUCCACAAGCAAUUUUUGACUCAUUCUCGUUCCCUCCCCAGCAGGGAGCUGCUCUGUGUCAGAUAUGGCUCAGGGCCCCAGUGCUUCAGACUCCAGCAGGAAAAUCUUGGCUUAAUUUAAAGUGUACUCACCCCUGAGUUACAACUGUGUGGGUGCAGGCAGGUCCCUGAAGCAGCAACACUUGGGAUCCACGCUGUGAGAGGCAGGAAAUUUGCUGUCACGCUGUGGUUUUGGGUUGUCUCUGCAGAAAACAACGAUUAUGGGACUUGUGAACACGAUUAGGUGACAUUAAAAGGUUUUUAAAGUAACUGCUUGGAUUCCCCAUGCCAUGGGAUUUAUAGUAAAUGUGAUUAUCUGCAGAUCUAUGAAUACACAAAUGAUGUAUUCUGUAUAAUGUUCAUAUUUAUCCCCAGUGUGCUGCAGUCAGCAUUUGUAUUUCACUUUCUCUUUGCUCUCUCUCUCAGGGCAGAUCCCCUGGUCUCUGUUAGGACUUGUAACACUGGUGGCUCUUUGGCAGCUCCAGCUUAAUUUUUAAAGCUUUUCCAUACAAAUUGAUCAAUCCAGGUCAGCAGUGAUCAGAGAAGCAGCCACAGAGGCCAAUUCCAGUGAGGAGAGUUUGGGUUUGCAUUAAUUUAUUGUGUUAAUUUCCUUCUCAUGGACUUUGGCCAUGCUGGAUGACAGAGCUCAGCACAGUACUCAGAACAAUGUCUUGAAAGAGCCAAACAAGCAAGAAGGCAGCACUUUCCUCAAAAGUGGUUUGGUUUGCUUUAGGGUAAAGUGGGAAUUUUGGGAUGGUACAGGCCACUAUAUUCAUCUCCUCUUGUAAGCAUGUUCCCAUUCAGUAAGUCACAGGGCAGAAGUUCAAGUGGUAUAACCCAAAAUUCAUCUUGUUCUCCUGGGCAGUGAAGUGCCCAUUUCCAAGGAGAAUCAGCAUCAUUCAGUAAGGACACUGGGCAUUAAAGGAUCUCUAAACACAGUAAAAAUACAAUUCCCCAACUGAAAAA